This 373-nucleotide ribosomal RNA is filed under the name uncultured organism. Its description in RNAcentral is "partial 16S ribosomal RNA". It matches the Rfam family "Bacterial small subunit ribosomal RNA", at positions 527 to 896 of the family's 1533-position model. The record is from RNAcentral.
GUAGGUGGCAAGCGUUGUCCGGAAUUAUUGGGCGUAAAGCGCGCGCAGGUGGUUCUUUAAGUCUGAUGUGAAAGCCCCCGGGCUCAACCGGGGAGGGUCAUUGGAAACUGGGGAACUUGAGUGCAGGAGAGGAAAGUGGAAUUCCACGUGUAGCGGUGAAAUGCGUAGAUAUGUGGAGGAACACCAGUGGCGAAGGCGACUUUCUGGCCUGUAACUGACACUGAGGCGCGAAAGCGUGGGGAGCAAACAGGAUUAGAUACCCUUGUAGUCCACGCCGUAAACGAUGAGUGCUAAGUGUUGGGGGGUUUCCGCCCCUCAGUGCUGCAGCUAACGCAUUAAGCACUCCGCCUGGGGAGUACGGUCGCAAAGACUG